AGUGAACGCUGGCGGUAGGCCUAACACAUGCAAGUCGAACGGCAGCACAGAGGAGCUUGCUCCUUGGGUGGCGAGUGGCGGACGGGUGAGGAAUACAUCGGAAUCUACUCUGUCGCGGGGGAUAACGUAGGGAAACUUACGCUAAUACCGCAUACGACCUACGGGUGAAAGCAGGGGACCUUCGGGCCUUGCGCGAUUGAAUGAGCCGAUGUCGGAUUAGCUAGUUGGCGGGGUAAAGGCCCACCAAGGCGACGAUCCGUAGCUGGUCUGAGAGGAUGAUCAGCCACACUGGAACUGAGACACGGUCCAGACUCCUACGGGAGGCAGCAGCGGGGAAUAUUGGACAAUGGGCGCAAGCCUGAUGCAGCCAUACCGCGUGGGUGAAGAAGGCCUUCGGGUUGUAAAGCCCUUUUGUUGGGAAAGAAAGCCAGCUGGCUAAUACCCGGUUGGGAUGACGGUACCCAAAGAAUAAGCACCGGCUAACUUCGUGCCAGCAGCCGCAGUAA
RNAcentral lists this ribosomal RNA (506 nucleotides) under uncultured bacterium. RNAcentral's name for it is "partial 16S ribosomal RNA". It matches the Rfam family "Bacterial small subunit ribosomal RNA", at positions 29 to 523 of the family's 1533-position model. The record is from RNAcentral.